Molecule: ribosomal RNA, 484 nt
Filed under: uncultured bacterium
Lineage: Bacteria
Description: partial 16S ribosomal RNA
Rfam family: Bacterial small subunit ribosomal RNA
Source: RNAcentral
AUUGAACGCUGGCGGCAUGCCUUACACAUGCAAGUCGAACGGUAACGGGUCCUUCGGGAUGCCGACGAGUGGCGAACGGGUGAGUAAUAUAUCGGAACGUGCCCAGUAGUGGGGGAUAACUGCUCGAAAGAGCAGCUAAUGCCGCAUACGACCUGAGGGUGAAAGGGGGGGAUCGCAAGACCUCUCGCUAUUGGAGCGGCCGAUAUCAGAUUAGCUAGUUGGUGGGGUAAAGGCCUACCAAGGCAACGAUCUGUAGUUGGUCUGAGAGGACGACCAGCCACACUGGGACUGAGACACGGCCCAGACUCCUACGGGAGGCAGCAGUGGGGAAUUUUGGACAAUGGGCGCAAGCCUGAUCCAGCAAUGCCGCGUGCAGGAAGAAGGCCUUCGGGUUGUAAACUGCUUUUGUCAGGGAAGAAAUCUUCUGGGCUAAUACCCCGGGAGGAUGACGGUACCUGAAGAAUAAGCACCGGCUAACUACGUG